UACGAAGGGGGCGAGCGUUGUUCGGAUUUACUGGGCGUAAAGGGCGCGUAGGCGGCCCUCCUUGUCGCGUGUGAAAGCCCCGGGCUCAACCUGGGAACUGCGUCCGAUACUGGAUGGCUUGAAUUCGGGAGAGGGAUGCAGAAUUCCAGGUGUAGCGGUGAAAUGCGUAGAUAUCUGGAGGAAUACCGGUGGCGAAGGCGGCAUCCUGGACCGACAUUGACGCUGAUGAGCGAAAGCUAGGGGAGCAAACGGG
RNAcentral lists this ribosomal RNA (253 nucleotides) under uncultured bacterium. Its description in RNAcentral is "partial 16S ribosomal RNA". It matches the Rfam family "Bacterial small subunit ribosomal RNA", at positions 524 to 776 of the family's 1533-position model. The record is from RNAcentral.